Molecule: ribosomal RNA, 811 nt
Filed under: uncultured Sporomusa sp.
Lineage: Bacteria; Bacillati; Bacillota; Negativicutes; Selenomonadales; Sporomusaceae
Description: bacterial SSU rRNA
Rfam family: Bacterial small subunit ribosomal RNA
Source: RNAcentral
GACGAACGCUGGCGGCGUGCCUAACACAUGCAAGUCGAACGGAGAGUUACUUGUAACUCUUAGUGGCGAACGGGUGAGUAACGCGUAGACAACCUGCCUCUAAAUUGGGGACAACACCGCGAAAGUGGUGCUAAUACCGAAUGUGGUAUCUUGGUCGCAUGAUUGAGAUAAGAAAGAUGGCCUCUAUAUAUAAGCUAUCGAUUAGAGAUGGGUCUGCGUCUGAUUAGCUAGUUGGUGAGGUAAUGGCUCACCAAGGCGACGAUCAGUAGCCGGUCUGAGAGGAUGAACGGCCACACUGGGACUGAGACACGGCCCAGACUCCUACGGGAGGCAGCAGUGGGGAAUCUUCCGCAAUGGACGAAAGUCUGACGGAGCAACGCCGCGUGAGUGAAGAAGGUCUUCGGAUUGUAAAGCUCUGUCGUUUGGGACGAACGUGCUCUAUGCAAAUAGUGUAGAGUAAUGACGGUACCAAAGGAGGAAGCCACGGCUAACUACGUGCCAGCAGCCGCGGUAAUACGUAGGUGGCAAGCGUUGUCCGGAAUUAUUGGGCGUAAAGGGCGUGUAGGUGGAUUCUUAAGUCGUGUGUCUAAGUGCGGUGCUCAACGCCGUAUAGGCGCAGGAAACUGGGAAUCUUGAGUGCAGGAGAGGUAAGUGGAAUUCCUAGUGUAGCGGUGAAAUGCGUAGAGAUUAGGAAGAACACCAGUGGCGAAGGCGACUUACUGGACUGUAACUGACACUGAGGCAUGAAAGCGUGGGAGCAAACAGGAUUAGAUACCCUGUAGUCCACGCCGUAAACGAUGGGUACUAGGUG